Molecule: long non-coding RNA, 662 nt
Organism: Empidonax traillii (willow flycatcher)
Lineage: Eukaryota; Metazoa; Chordata; Aves; Passeriformes; Tyrannidae
Exons: 2
Source: RefSeq, a predicted model, not a curated record
CACAUGGACCACCCAAGAUUUAAACUGUUGGGACUGAAGCGCCUUUGCAGUGGGCAGCUCCAGUGAACCCACGGGUGCCCUGCUUGGCUCCCACCACACACCACCCUCAUUGUCAGACAAGAUUCCCUCACAGGGUUGACCCCAGGUUUCCUAUAGCAGAGUCCCAGACGCCUGGAUCAAGUAAUUUAAUUGUGUGCAGUGACACCAUAACAGCUUGAGUAGGUGCCUCCACGGUUGCUUUGCAUGCUGUCCCAUCACACUUCUGUGGCAGAAGACCAUGCAGGAUGGGGGCCACCUGACUGAAGUGCUACUCUCAUGAUGGACACUUUUGCUUGGCUAGCACAUAACAACAGGAGAGGAGGAGUUGGCAAGACCUCAUCUGACCCAACGUGUCCUAAGAGACAUUACAUCUGGUAUCAUUUUGGGCAAUGAUCUUCUAAGCUGUUCCCUGCUGUCAACAGAGGUUACCCACUCCCACAAGCUCCUUCUGAGUGGACCCUCUUGUACUACAAGGAAAUUUUCCUGCUGACUAAUCUGAAUUGCUUCUGCUGCUUCCUCAAGAUCCUGAAGACACAGAGAAUAUCUUAUUUCCCUUUACACAGCUCAAGACUUAUACCUACCUUCCUUAUGCCUCUUUCUAAAUUAAACAGCACCAGUUGUUG